Molecule: non-coding RNA, 716 nt
Organism: Zonotrichia albicollis (white-throated sparrow)
Lineage: Eukaryota; Metazoa; Chordata; Aves; Passeriformes; Passerellidae
Source: RefSeq, a predicted model, not a curated record
AUUGUGGUUUUCUACUAUCCAGGUGUUUGGCAGGUUGGAGGAAAGCUUGUAAAUGCUUUGCACAGCUGACCUACUGAGUCUGAGGUGACUGAGAGGGAACCCACAACUAUCUCAUCUGACUUCUGUUGGUCAACACACUCCUCUGAAGGUGCUGCAGAAGAUACAGCCAAGCACAGAUUUUACACUCUGGAAAAGUACCAGAGCUGCUCCUUCUCACCUGCUUGCAUAGGAUUGCAAUUUGCUCACUAAUUGAGGAGUUCUUGGUAGCUGGAAAACACAGCUACAACCUGGCAUCAAUCUUCUCUUGAUAGAAGUCAGUGGUGGCUAUGGGCUAUUCUGACAUUUGACUGCCUGUCACCCAGCAUUGGCAUCCAGCCUUACUAACCCUGCCAGAGCUGCAGCUACUUUCAGUGAAGGAGAUUUUGAAGCAGGAAUAUUGACAAGUCAUACAAGACUGGCCUAAGCCAUGAAAUGAUGGCAUUGACAACAUCCUGGUUGAGUGCUACAGAAGUGCUUAGAACAUACAUUUUUAAUAUCUCCUUAAGAGUAAAAUAUAAGCCCCAGAAAUUGUUUUCGACAAAUUUGGGAAUAUGUGCUGAUAUCUCAGGAUCAAUUUUUGGUGUGUAUAGAGAGGUGAUAAACUGGAAAGUGGUCAGUUUAGCUGGAAUGCCAUAAGCAUAUUCAUGAAACUAAGGAGCCAGAUUCUGUCAUUGAGG